RNAcentral lists this ribosomal RNA (253 nucleotides) under uncultured bacterium. RNAcentral's name for it is "partial 16S ribosomal RNA". It matches the Rfam family "Bacterial small subunit ribosomal RNA", at positions 524 to 776 of the family's 1533-position model. The record is from RNAcentral.
UACGUAGGUGGCAAGCGUUGUCCGGAUUUAUUGGGUUUAAAGGGUGCGUAGGCGGCUUUAUAAGUCAGUGCUGAAAUAUCCCGGCUUAACCGGGAGGGUGGCAUUGAUACUGUAGAGCUUGAGUAAAGUUGAGGUUGGCGGAAUUGACGGUGUAGCGGUGAAAUGCUUAGAUAUCGUCAAGAACACCGGUAGUGAAGACAGCUAACUAAGCUUUAACUGACGCUGAGGCACGAAAGUGUGGGGAUCAAACAGG